UAAUAAGUGUUUUAUGGCACUUUUUAAAUCCAUAUCCACCUUGUGUGCAAUGUCAGUCGAUCUUCUUCAUGGAGAUCGACCAAACAUCAACCUUUAUUUUUUUAACUCUUUGUCUGAAAAAUAUUAUGAAUAAACAAUUCAAAAAUA
Molecule: unclassified non-coding RNA, 147 nt
Filed under: soil metagenome
Description: partial internal transcribed spacer 1
Source: RNAcentral